This 14067-nucleotide long non-coding RNA is filed under the name Nicotiana tabacum (common tobacco). Its description in RNAcentral is "long non-coding RNA (NTAB_LNC006789)". The record is from RNAcentral. Lineage: Eukaryota; Viridiplantae; Streptophyta; Magnoliopsida; Solanales; Solanaceae.
GAAAUUUUGUGAAAAACAACUGAACAACCAGUCCCCUUUACUUGACCAAGCUCUAGAUCAAAAGAGAACAUGGCAAGUUUACUCAUGUAAUUAAACUGUUAUUAUAUGGAACUACAUAUGGAUGCUUUUCUAUCUUUGUUGAGAUGUUACUAACUUGAAUCUAUUCUUUCAUCUUAUAAUCUAUUAUAUUGAUGGAAGAUGAUACCACCUUGCAUUUCUAGGGCAGCUUGAAGGACAGAAACCGAUGCUUUGAAGACCAGAACUCGAACUGUUUUUUGCCAAAUCGAGAUGUCCACAAAGGUUAAAUUUGCGUCAUGGCUUUUAGAAUAAUAAUGCUAAUUCCUUUGUGGACUCAAAUAUUCUCUACACUAUUAGAAGGAAUUGAGUCUUUAUCUAUACAUACAUAUGCACUUUCCUAGUACACAAUUUUAUUUAGUCUUUUUUUAUUGGUAAGAGUAAGAAAAUCUUCUUAGUACCGUUUAAUGAAAGUUUUCACGUUAUUUAUCAAAAAGAAUCUAUGAAACUGAUGAUUUAUGUAUUUAGACAUUCUUUGUUACUAAUGUGUUAACAAAACAAAUAAAGCACAUUCUUUGUUACUAAAGUAAAAAAUUCAUAUAAAGCACAUUUUUCGUAUACAGAGGUAUAUAAUUUGUGGCUUAUCUGCCUAAUGUUCAAAAUUUCAUUGUGUUGUUUCUGUGUGCUGUUAUUUAGCUUGUUAUUCCGUGUUUCCUGAUUCCUGACAGAGAUUCACUUUUAAAGGUGAAACCCAUCUUUUGGUCAAACACAGCACAAAUUGGAAACAAGACCUUCUAAUCCAUAUUUUCGUCAAACACAGCACACAUUGGAAACAAGACCUAGGGUAAAAUCAAUCACUAGAUUGUAACCUAGCGAUGAUUUUCCGUAAACUGAUGUAUAAAAAUAUAGCUAUAGAUAGGAUGGUCACAAAUAUGAAGGAGAAAAAGAGGUCAAGGAAAUUGGGUUUUUUCCAAAGUCAAAAGAAGAAAUCAAGUAUCAUAAACUUAAAAAAGACAGAAUACAGUUGCUAUUAACUUACGAGCUCCAGUUCAAAAUAAGUUCUGCACUUUGUAAAAGUAAAUUCUAUGAGCACAAUAAAAAGAUUCAGUGUUAUAAAAUAAUCGAAGUAUAGCUUUCCUUUUCCAAGUCAAAAGCAAUGAUUAUUGCAACAAGAACUAAUCACGAAAAUUAGUAAUAUCUGGGGAAAAUAUACUUCAUUCAGUUGGUAUACAAAAAGAUGUCACUGUUUAAAACAAGAACUUGGCACCAACAAAGAAAAUGAGAGUAAAUGUCCCAAGAAAUAAGAUCUUGAAGCUACAUAACCUAAAAAAUGCAUAAUUGUGCAUUGGAAUCUGUGUCCAAUCGCCACAAGCAUGUAACAACCAACAUCUGUCAUUGUCAUAGUUAUUCGAUCUCUUGUUUUUUCCUGGAAGGGCAGAAAAACUGCACAGCCAUGAUAUAUAAAAGCUAUUCGACAUUUGAUCUAAAACUAAUCAUCAACAGGCUGUUGCCUGUCUCAAACUAUUAUGAAGUCAUGGAUAAAUGCAAGAGGUAAACCUGAGUGGCAUUAGCAGUUGCAACAUUGACUGAGUAGCCAGCUGGAGCAAACCAUUCGUUUUUCAGAUCUCUAGAGAUAGAGCUGACCAAUCUUACAGAGUUAGAAGUAACCUGCAUGACAAUUUAUGCGCAACUUUCCUUGAAUACAGAUUGUUUAAUGUAUUCAGCCAGAAAUAUAAAAGAAGCUUUCCACAGAUGGUUAAUGACAACGUUAUGCCCUAAGCAAUCAGUGUUCGAUUCGAUCAUUACUCAUUAUAGUCUACCAAAUUACUGCAGAGAAAGAGGUUAUGGAAGAUUCUGGUUUCUCAAUUUUAACUCUCAAUGAAGCCAAAUAGGGACAUACUAGCAGUAACAAGGCAAUAGCAGUAACUGACAAUCUCAAAUAUGACAGCGCAAAGAAUAGUAUUUGUUCCAACAAAGACUCUCUGUCUCCCCUCAUCCAACGAGCACAUAUUAACAAAACAAGAUGCAUUACAACUUAAGAAGCAUGUAAAAGAUGACACAUAUAUGAACUUUGACAGAAUUUACGCACACAACUGGUGAUUAACCUAACAAAAAAGAUGAUACUGAAGGAAGAUGCUUCUGAAAUAACGUUCUCAUUUCUAACUUUUGUGAUCUUAAGAUAAUAUCAAGCAUAGUGGAAACACUUGACAAAUCUUCAAGACUACCAGUUACAGUAUGCGCAUAACAGACCAGAAAGAGUACCAACAAGAACUAGUGGAAACCAUUGAAGUCUACACUCUAGAGAAGGAAAGAAUUAGUUUCACAAUGUAACGACAGACAUUUUAUAUAACCUAGUAUCUGUAUAGAAAGAAACCAUGUUCCUGCAGACGGCUACCUACAAUUUAUAGAUUUUAUAAUCUAUUUCUGAGCAUUUCUAACUUGAAAAAUCACACCAAAUAACCCAAAAAGAAAGAAGUUGAACAUACCAAUUCCAUAUAUAGACCCUAAAGUAUAAUCCCCAGACAGAUCUAUAUUAUCAAAUCACAAUUUUGAUCUAAUCAUAAAUGUGUCUCAAUUCAUUACCCAGAGGUAGAUAAGAAUCUUAUAUGUAAGAUUGUUAUGAAAACCAUAGAGACAUGAAAAAUGCAACCAGUGGUAGGGGUAGUAUUUGAGAAGUAUGGUUUUAUGGAAUGGGGAUGGAGAACUAAAACCAUUACAGUUCCAUUUGGAUGUAGCAUGUGGAGGAGCAAAAUGAAGGGGUGGGAGGACUUCAAUGGUCAUAUCUUCUUUAGGGUUGGGGAUGGGAGAAGAAUUAGCUUUUGGAAUCACAAGUGGUUCGGGGAAGACACCUUGAGGAUUUCAUUCCCUAAUUUGUACAGAGUUUCGAACGACAAGGAAUUGACAGUCCAUUAGAUUCAGGGAGCGUGACGAGAAGUACUUUGGGAUAUGACGUUUAGCUAAGUUGCUCGGACACGGGUGCGGGUAUCCGAGACAUCGGAUCCGUCGAGAUGUAAAUUCUAAGAUACAGGGAUACGGAUCCUAGUAUGGAUACGGGUGCGGGGAUCCGGCUAAAAAUAAUUCAACAACAACCCAGUAUAAUCUCACUGGUGGGGUCUGGGGAGGGUACUGUGUACGCAGACCUUACCCCUACCCUGGGGUAGAGAGGCUGUUUCCAAUAGACCCUCGGCUCCUUCCCUCCAAGAACUCCCCACCUUGCUCUUGGGGUGACUCGAACUCACAACCUCUUGGUUGGAAGUGGAGGGUGCUUACCACUAGAGCAACCCACUCUUGUCUAAAAAUAAUUCAAAAAACUAAAAAUAUAGAAGUAUCUCUAAAUUAUGAGAAAUUUUGUGGAACACUUAUGUAUAUUUUGUAAAGUGUGGAUUUCUUUUUUAUUCUCAAGUUGUAAAUAAAUAUAGGAUUGAUUUCCUAGAUAAAGUACACUAUUUUCUACAAAUUUUCCCUAGUUUUGGUUCUGACUUCGGGAAUCAAAUUGUAUCUCGUCUCGAAUUUUUCCGUCUGUCGUGGUCAAAGUACCCAAAAUUGUUUGACCAAAUCCGGUACGGAUCCCAUACCCACACUAGUGUCAAGUCGGCACGGGUGCGGCACCUAAACUGCCAUGUCAGAGCAACUUAAACGUUUAGGAGAAAUCUGCAAGACUGGGAGUUGGGAGAGUUUCAAAGGUUAGUGGAGCUACUUUACAAGCAAAUCAGACCUCACUUUAAUAAUGACUCGUGGAGAUGAGCGCUAAAAAAUGAUGGUUUGUUCACAGUCAAAUCUCUCUACCAGAGUUUGUUGGUGAGAGAGGAGACACUUUCAACGUUUAUCGAUAUGGAUUCCUAGGGCGCCUAGAAAGGUGUGUGUUUUUGCAUGGGCAAGAGGAACGAUUCUGACAGCUGAGAAUCUGAGGAAGAGAAACAUUACUUAUGUCAGUAGGUGCUACAUGUGCAAAUGUUCGGGUGAAGAAGUUGAUCAUCUAUUGGUGCAUUAUAGAGUGGCAUCGGGUUUGUGGAGGGUGGUCCUGAAUUACUUUGGUGUACAAUGGGUGAUAGAUGUGUUGCACAGCUGGGCUGGUAGACAUAGUAGAAGGCGAUAAAAGGCAUGGAAGGUUGCUCUGUUAGCUGUUAUGUGGGUCGUAUGGAGAGAGAAAUAGGAGAGCUUUUGAGGGGAUUGAAAAUGAUUUUGUAUACUUGAGGAAUAGCCUUUUGUCUUUGAUUGCUUUUGGUGCACCCUUGAAAUUCCUACUUGUUUAGAUGAUUGGGUGUGUUUCGUAGAGAAUCAUGUUAUGUUGUAGAUUUUUUACUUUUUGGUAUACCUCUUGUAUACGGGAGCAUUUCCCAUUUUGUUAAUAAUACCAUUUACCUUAUAAAAAAAAAUGCAACCAGUGGUGGGAUAAGUUAUGCUGCCCUCUGUAAGUGUGAAAGAGCCUAUACUCUUAUUUAAUUUCCUUCCUUUCAAUUUUGUCAUACCAAGUCCAUUUAGUUCUUAAAACAGCUUGCCAAUCCUUCUCAUUUUGUAGAAUCCUUCAUCAGCAGUAGUGAAUAGCUGAUUAUUCCAUAGUGUCCACAUCCACAGUGGAAGAGAGUCAAGGAGAUUGAUAAAAUAAAAAAUCUAGUCCUAUUUACGUCUCAUAUUUUUAUUCUCUUACAAUAACAUUGUUCAGAAUGACAUAUACUGAACACUUGCAAAAGCACCUGGCUGGUAGAUUGAUGGGAUAAAAUACUUCUUAGACUCAGAAAAUGAUCUACUCAGCACAGGGCAUACCUGUACAAGCUGGUUGUAUACAGCAUCGUGACAAAACAAGGUCUGGACUUGAGAAUUGAAGCCUUCUAUCUCAGUUUCUUCCAGCUCAUCCUCAAGGUUCAUAGCUAAAACACGUGUCUCGCUAAUGAAGCUAACAACCAAGAAUGUGUCAUACGGAUCAUCAGUAGCUGAUCUAAGAGACCACAUUCCUUUGAUCCCUUGUAGUUCCACAGAUGCCUGUAAGUAGCAUCGCAUAUAGAUCAAGUUAUUGUAGCAAUAGGAAUACACACAAAAAUUUCACUCAAAAAUACUUUAGAUGACACGACCUGUUCAUUUAUUCCAAUUCCAUUUCGAACAAUACGAAGUGAGCCAUCCUUAUAGGCUCCAGAGCAAGUCACGACCUGACCUUGACCUUGCCUCUCCAGGUCAACAACACAGAAGUCCACAAUUGGCCCCAAAUUGACAUAUCUCUCUAGAACUUCCACAUAAGAACCUUUGGGGUCGGGCUGGAGAUUGAGCUUUACGAGCUGAACGUGAAUUCAAAAAUAUUAGUGGAACUGCCGAAAAUGAAACAUGUAAUGUGAAGCACCAAAGGAAAUAGGCAACCGAAAUUUAAAACCUCAAAGUUCCAAUGAAUCAAAAGCUACUAUACGGAGAUUUACAAUAAGGGGCUGUAGAAACCAACUUACUGCACCAAUAUGCACUCAUAUAAGUAACCUGAGACUCAUAACACUUCAAUUAAAUAUUGCAAUGCGAAUACAGCAACAGAUAAAAUUCCUAUAAGUCAGAUCGAGUUAUGAAAUCAUCAACCAAUAUUUAUUACAACUAUUCUGACAUCUUAGCAAAGAACCUCCUUCAACUCUAUGGUGUUAAUUAAACAUAAAACUACAUCCAGAUCGAGAUAAAUCUAUUUCGUUUAGUAAAUGUAACACUACAACUUUCACAUUACAAUGUUUAAAGGUUAAUUGUGAGCAAAAUGCUUCAUCUAAAGUCGAGCAAUUUGAAACCUAUGGCAAGUUAAUUUUUUGAAUACCCUCUAUCUAAUGAAAUGAAUUUAACAUUUGUAUUACAGUUUAAAAGUAGAUUCUAUUAGUAAAAUCUAUAAGCCAAUUGCUAGUCAAGUAGGUCAUAUUUAACCUCAGAUUAAUGGUAUACCGUCAUACAUGCAAACUUAGCAGAAAAUAAAGCAUGGUGGAAAGAAUAUAUUUCAAAAAGAAAAAAAAGAAAAAAAAACUGCAAUCUUUAAAAUUCAUGCAGGCUUAGUGAAAGAUUGAGCACAAUGGAAGAAAAAAGUCAACACACCCAAUAUCAACUAGUCAGGAUUAAGACUUAUUGUUUGUACAGUCGCAUUUGUCCAAUAUUUGCUAGGAUCAGUUAUUAUCAUGUAAGGGGAGUUCUAGGCUAGUAGAAAUGUAGAAAGCUUCUAGGGUUAAAAGGACCUAAUUCAGUUAACAUUGGAACGCGAGGCGUAUAAAUGGAGCAAAUUGGACAGUGAUGAUUUAGGUAGCCAACUCCAACUAGCUUGGGAUUGAGGCUUAGUUGUUGUAUAAUGAUACAUAUCUCACUAAGCACAAAUUAUUAUGCAAUUCAGAUAAAACGUGCAUAGCAGUGUUGUCAAAGGCACGCUUAAGCCCUGAAGCGAGGCUCAAAACAUAUUGAGCGCUUCGCCUCGCUUUGUGGGCGCUUCAGUGUCGCAUCAAGGCUCUAAGACAUACUUUUACUUGCCAAUAAGCGUAAUCCUGAAAAGGCGACACUAAAUAAUUGAUAUUUCACUUUAUCGUAAUCUUUUUUUUUCAAUUUCUUUGUCCAUAUAUUUGUUAUUCAUGCUUAUAAUUAUUGUUCUUAGACUACAUAUGCAUAUUUUUACUUUUCUCCAGUUGUGCCUUUUUUCAUUAAAGCCCAUGCUUUAUUUGCACAAGGACCUUAGAGCUUUUUUGCGCUUUUCGCCUUUGAUAACACUGGUGCAUAGCAAAAGGUACAUAUUCCUUUUCAAUCCACAAGAUGAAACAAGCAAUGGCACGUAGGUAUAAAAUUUCACAUUAGUUUAAACUUUAAUUCAACAGUUUAAAGUACCUGUGAAUCUCCAUAGCUUGACCCAAUGAAGACAAAAGCAUUGUCUAGGUAUGAUAUGGUUGAUGCAAUAGAAGUUUCUCCCAGUAGCUCAAUUUUGAGUCCGGUAACUCUGGGAAGUAAUAUUAAAUCUGCGUUAAAAAUUUUAUUCCCAGCAACUAGGCAAAGGUACAAGACAGCAUUUUGGUCCCAGCAAUUCAGCAAAAGAAUAAAAGACAGUCCAAAAAAUGCUGACUCACUUUUCCUUUUCAUGAGUGAUUACAAGUAGGUGAAGAAGCCCAUUAUGAUCCCCAAGCAAAUAUCGAGAACCAUCAGCAUCAACCCGCCCAUAUGCUCUUGUGAUAGACUUGAAAGGAUAAAUAAAGCAUUGGUGAGACAAUAUCUCAUUCAUUUAUUUAAUUAACAGCUUCUGUGAUAACGACUAGGUAAAACCUUUUAAAGGGUUUAUUCGGUCAAAAAGGCUGGGGGUGGUUGUACACAAAACAAAGAAAAUUAGUAAGUUAUACAUAUGCUUACAGGUCUAAUUGGGAUAGCCUUAAAAGCUGAAGCGCUACAGUAAACUAUGGUUUCUUCUCCAAUAAUCAGUACACCACACAGUGGCGGAGGUACUGGUAUUAGCAAAGAAGCUCCAUUAUCGAGAUUAUUUUGAGCCCAUGGCCCUUCAAUAAAAUCUUUAUCCUUCAACGACACCUCAUAUGUUUUGACAUGUCGUGCGUCCUUGUUAUCCUGCCAAUCAAACGUAAAGGUUCAGGACUAGAAUCAGAAUGAAGUAAUUUAAACACAGAGAGAAGACACCACCAUGGCAGUAGUGCAAAUUUGGUGGUUCAAACUCCCUCCCUCUCCAUAUCUUGGUUUUUAAAAAAGAAAGUGCACGACGUCAUUCUAUAACCAAGUGCUAACAACAAAUCCACGACUUAAGGGGCCAAUCAAAUUCCCAUGAUGAAAUGAGCAAAAGAUUUUACCAUAAUUACAAAAUGAAAAUGGUAAAUUAAGCAUUAUGGCUCUACAUCAUUUUUAAAACCACAGACCUGAUAUAGAACAACAAUUGUAGGCUUUGGGCAACCAUACAAGAAUUUAAUAUCCAAAACUUGAAGCUCCUCAAGCCUGGAAAAACCACAAAAUAAUGAACUAUCAAUCAAAGAAGAAUAGCUCCCAUGAGUAACAACUUGAUAUCCCUGGUGAAACGGUCAGACCUACUAUUCAGCAAUCCUCCUACAUAAAGUGUAUGAUACAAUUCUUAGGAGCAUAAUUCAGAUAAAUGAUCACUACCAAAAGACAUGUUGGUAGGUUGAUACACUAAAUGAGGUCACACCAGGUGUAUUUACAGCUUUGCCAAGACCAAGCACAGUAAAUGAUACAAUAGAGAAAGAACUUCAGUUUCUUAGUUAGGAAAACUUAAAGAAAGAGAACUCAAAGUGCAGCAUUAAAUAUUCAAAAAUGAAAGCAGCAGUCCAGAAAUCCUUGAAACUUUACAUCUACAACUUCAAUUUAAAUAAGGUUACAGGAAACAAACAUAAAAAGGUGAAACAAAUGAAUUUUGGAAUGCCAUCACAAAGGAAGAUUGCUAUGAAUUGAUCUGCUAAAGGACAACAAACAAUUUCCCUUUCCUUUCCCCUCCCCCUAUAUAUUAAAAAGAAUUUAACAAAAAGGAUAACAAGCAAUUCGUUUCUACAAGUUCACUUCCUGAAGUCAUGACCUGGAUCUUUUUUAUAACUAAGGUACUUGCUAGCUCCCACCAGCGCAAAGUACCAGGCUACGACACGAUAACCCUGCCGAACAAGGCUAAGGCAGAUAGGAAGAUAUCUCCUAUUUUUUGUCUCUUCUAGAAUUUGAAUCCUCGUCUCCUAUGGCUUUACCACUCAUUGACCGCUUGGCCACACCCUUGAGUGUGGUCCUUACUUGGAUUGUUGAUUUUAAGAAUGAUGUCACUAUUUUUCUUUUUCUUUGUUUGCUCCUACAGAUACAGCAUCCAUGCACCCUCAUAUCAAUCCCACAUGCCUCAUCCAUUAUAAUUUAAUGACAGAAAGGAGCAUUUAGCAAUUAGGCAGGUGGAUAUGAGUAGGUAAAAUGGUUCGGCUCAAGAAAAGUAAACUGCCUCAAGGGCUAGAGAGUAUUUAGCAAAAGUAGAGGACGUUACUUAAUUUAAGGAGAAAAUUGUAGAUAAGUUAGCUUCACAAUCUUGUAAAGGUAGAUCUGAGGAUACCUGAUGUUAAAGGCUUCCUUCAGUUGGCCUUUGUUAUCAAAUGGAAUAACCUGUUGACAGUGAAGUCCAAGUGAAUCUUUUGCAAACAUAAAGAUACCACCACAGAAGCUAAUCCAGCAAACAUUACAUGUCUUGUAAUGACAAUACCUUAAAUAGUCCAUCAUAAAGAUGCAACCCGAUCAAUCUGCAGUCUGGGUCGAUUAUACCAAUCUACCAAAAGAAAGAAAUAGGGUAAACGGCAAAUAUAAAAUAGGGUAUUGACUCAUUGACCAAAUGAGAAAUCAAAAGAUAUAUAAUACCAGUUUGCUCCUCUAAAUUAUAAUAAUAUUUAAGGGCAUUUCGAAAUAUAAUACCUGACCGUUAUCUGUGGGACGGCCUAUUCGAUCUGAGACAUCUCCCAUUGCUCUACAUAAAGAACACCAAAAGAAGGGAAGUCUUUGAAUUUGAGAAACAAAAUAUAUCCACUCACUAGAAAAGAUAUGGAGCGCACCACUACGAGUACAACAACAUACCCAGUGUAUUCUCACAGGUGGGGUCUGGGAAGGGUAGUGUGUACGCAGACCUUACCCUACCUUGUGAAGGUAGAGACAUAUUUUUUGAAAUAAAAAUUAGAUAAACAUACUGCUGCGACUGCGAGUAAUGAAAUAAAAAUUAAAUAAAAGAAAACCUUCAGCAACUAGAAAAACCAUAAGGCAUAUAAAAGCUACACCAACUCCUAAUAUUAAGUAGCAAGAAUGUUUUGUGAAUAAACAAUGACAUUUUCUUGGCUAACUUUUGAAGGAGUUUCCACAGAGACCAAACAAACUGUCAAGGCUUCUAUAAAAUGGUUAUAAAGAUGAAGUACACUGCACCAUGAUUCAUGUAUGUCAAGAGGACAUAUUCUUUUUCUUUUUUCUUUUGAUAAGUAGGAGGAUAUAGUUCUAUAUACACAUGCUUUCAAUGGGGAGUUGGAAAUCUAACUGCAAUGGAUUGUCAGAUUUUAUUUUUAUGAAAAAACUUUUAUAUAUUUAAAUUAGGCAUUUUAACCUACCAGGAAGAAACACAGUUUUGCAGACUAACCUUGUGAUAACUUCAGAUGCCUCAGCAUCCCAUUGAAGGACACAGAAUUUAUAUCGCUCUGUCGCAAUGAAGAGAAGAUCUUGUGUUUCACCCUGCCAGGAUACCCAGGGAACACAGAAAACUGACAUAUGGCUAAAAGAAACUUUUUCCUUGUGUCCAAUAUAAUUUGAAGGAUAAAAAUGAGCUACACAAUAAAAAGAUGUCAACUCACGUGGGGACGGAAAAGCUCGAGUGUCGCGAUUCUCCCAUAUAUUGGCACAUCUAACAUAGGCUGCAGACAAAAUACACUAAACUGAGCUCAUAUUUUGCAAUAUUCUAGAACCAAUGACACAUCACGUUUAUAGACAAAGAAUAUGAUCUAAUCAAAGCUUGGGACAGAAAUAAGAGUCACUAAUUCUUACAUUUACCAGAAAAAAGAAAAGAAAUAUAAAACGGUCAGCAAAAACACAGGUGAACUAAAGAGUGCGAAAAGAAAAAGGAGAGAAAAAAAUCUUGUAAUACAAAAGGCUCUUUAUAUAGGACUAUAGGCUACUAGAAAUAAGAAUUAAAUAAAUAGAUUAUCUAAAUACCAAGUUUCCUAGUAUGACACAAUAAAAACUAAUAUAAAAUCUAGACCAUGGUACUAUAGUAGCAUUAAUCGAUGUGAUUCUUUGAGUUAACAAAGAAUCAUCUGACCAACAUCAAGAUCUUGAAGCGGAAACAAUGAUUAGACGGCCUGAUUUCAAGACAUGAACAUAUCUGGAGCUGUAGAACUCAAUAAUCAAGUGAUUCAAUAACAAGGUGAAAAAUGAGAUUCUGCAUUACCAAAUUUACUUAAUCAAAACAAGAAAAUACCAACUUCAAAACAACUUAAAAUGCGAUCCGGUUCUGAAUGUUAAAAUGGGCAAAUUUACAAAUGGGAUGGGUAUUAUUUGAAGAAUCUUAACAUAGAAGUUCAAAAUGUCACCACUUAUAUCAAUUAACAUGAUAAUAAAGAGGCACCACAUGCAAUUGAGAAUAAAGAUAAAAACUAUCACCACCUUACUUGGAACAAAGGCGAGGAUAAAGAAAUAAAGUAAAUUGCAAAUGGUUGUUGUAGCAAAAUAUAUGAACUAUGAAUAUACAUGGCAUGAGAACCAUUUAUAUAGGUCUAAGUUCUCUUGUUUGACGAUCACCAUUCAUGUUCUAAAAUGAAAGUAAAAUAAGGUUCUACUGGAAAAAUAUAAUUAAAGUAAAAACCUACCAAGAAAAGGAAACAAGAAAUCCCUUCCAGGAAAACAACAAACCAACUUAUUAAGGAAACAAGAAACUAGAAGUUCUAUUUUUGGAAGGAAACUAGAUGUUAUAUUCUCAGAAGGAAUCUACAAACUUGAGCUUCUUGGGCCUCUUGGGCUCCUUGAAAGCAAUUCCACAUGUUUGAACUUGGGUUAUAAUUUUGGUCUAGGUCAAGUUUGUUUUUCUUAUCAAAAAUAAACUUGACCAAGACCAAAAUUCAUAAAACUCAUCCUCGAGUAUAAAAGCUCCACAAAUGGCACAAGAUUAGCGACACUCAUGAUUGAAGACACCCAAUUCACCGGGCUCAAAGUUGCAUUUCUCUAACUUCUUAUAUAGCUUCUUCACGACGAAAGUAAUUUUAGCAUGUGGUCGAACUACAACUCACUUUUACAGUUGUAACUAAUUUUUUCCGAGGAAUUAUCCUAAAGUGACUAUCAAACUUCAAGCCAAUCUAAAGUUAUCUCUAUUGGAACCUUAUGAAGCUUAACCAUCUCCAUGUUCAGCUAUAACCUGAGGAGCAUACAUGAAAAACCUUUAAAUUAAGCAUGGAUCAAGGAAUAUCUUCUUGAGAAUAAAUCAACAACAAUAUUUGUAGUCACAUAUUCAAAACAUAUUAUAGCCACUGCUUGUAAUAUUGUAGAGAGUUCUCUUGUCCACACAUUCUUGCCAAGAUCCAUUCUCUUAAGGCACUAAACAGUUUGAAACUAAAUAGAGGCUCAAACUCUCCAAUGUUGGCUCCUCUUGAGGAUACUCUACCUCUUGUCCUUGCAACUCUUCAUUGACAUUCGGAAUUACGUAGCUUGCUACCUUGUAAAAAUGCAGUCAAGAAUCAAUCAAUAUUAUGUAGAAUCUCAUGCAUGGGUGGAUGCUCAUGUGGACCCACUUAGAAAAUCACAUCAUCAAACCUUAGGUAACUUCUCAACUUGUGGAUUUAACACAUGCUCCUUUCUUUGCAUUUCCAUAGCCACGUCAAUGUUCCAAAGGUUCUUUGUUGAUAGGACCAAUUAUUUGCGAUUUGGUCAUUAAGAAAUCAUGCGUAAAUUGGCUCAAGUUAGUAAGUUCUUCUGCAUGCAAUAAUGUCAAAACUAAUAUUUUUCGUAAAUAAAUACUCCCUCCAUUCUAAUUUAUAUGACACACUUUCUUUAUUAGUCUGUUCCAAAAGAACCAUGCAUUUCUACAUUUGAAAUCAAUUUAACUUUAAACUUUUUAUUUUACCCACUUUACCCUUAAGGAGAAAUUUCUAUAACCGUACAAAUAUCAGGGCACCACAAAGCUUUUACCCCUUAAGGUUUUUUUUUUGAUAAGGUAAAUUGUAUUAAUCAAAAGGGAGAGAACUCCCGUGUACACGAAGUAUACCAAAGACGUAGAGAAUUUACAUCAGAACAUGAUUCUCUACAAAAGACGCCCAAUCUUCUAUACAAGUAGGGGCUAAAUGAGUGCACCAAAAAGCGAUCAAAGAUAAAAGACUAUUCUUAAGAUGUGAAAAAGGAGACUCAAUCUCCUCAAAAGCUCUCCUAUUUCUCUCCCCCCAUACUACCCACAUAGAGCUAACGGGGCUAAUUUCCACACCUUUUGCUUUCUUCUUCUACGAAAACCGCCCCAGCUAUAUAACAUUUCCUUUACACUGUUUGGCAUCACCCAUUGAACACCAAAAAGAUUCAGGAUCGACCUCCACAAUGCAGAGGACACAGGGCAAUGCAACAUAAGGUGAUCAACUUCUUCCCCAGAGCUUUUACACAUGUAGCACCAACUAACAAGUGUAAUUCCCCUCUUUCGGAGAUUUUCAGAAAUCAAGAUCACUCCCCUUGCCGCUAGCCAUGCAAAAAAGCACACCUUAGUGGGUGCCCUAGGAAUCCAGAUCAAGGAGUAUGGAAAAGUGGUCUCCUCUCUCACCAACAUACUCUGGUAAAAGGACUUUACGGUGAACAAACCAUCGCCACGCAAGCCCCAUCUCCAAUAGUCGCAGGAUGGCUAGAGCAUGUCUUGCCCGUAUAGCUGUGCCAACAAGACUUGAAGCUCCGCAAUCUCCCAAUCUUGCAUGUUCCUCCUGAAUGAGAGGUCCCAUACUACCCCCUUCAUGCUCCUUGCGAAUCUGUUGGACCAUCAGUUCCUUCUGGUUUGAAACUCUGAAGACGUGGGGGAAGGAGACCCUCAGAGUAUCCUCUCCACACCACCUAUGAUUCCAAAAGCUGAUUCUUCUUCCAUCUCCCACCCUGUAAGUGAUGUUGCCACUGAAUGCUUCCCAAUUCUUCAUGAUACUCCUCCACAUGCCACACCCAAAAGGUGUUGUGAUCGCCUUGGUCCUCCAAUCCCCUCCCGUUGAAUCGUACUUUUCUACGAUAACCUCCCUCCAUAGAGCAUGCUCUUCUACCCCGAAUCUCCACAGCCACUUUCCCAUUAAAGCUCUGUUAAAUACCCUAAGAUCUUUCACUCCAAGUCCACCCCACUUCUUUGGGGAAGUGACUGUCUGCUAAUUCACUAGAUGAAACUUUCUAGUUCCAUCCGCCGCAUCCCACAGGAAGUUCCUUUGAAGUCGCUCCAGUUUUUCUGUGAUGCUCACCGGUGCCUGCAACAGGGAUAAGUAAUAGGUGGGCAUACUCGAUAAAGUGCUUUUGAUAGGCACUUCCUUACCUCCUUUUGACAAAUACCGUUUCUGCCACCCUGCUAAUCUUUUUUCAACCCGCUCGAUCACUGGAUUCCAAACCGUAGUAUCCUUAUAUGAA